This is a long non-coding RNA of Adelges cooleyi (spruce gall adelgid), 1255 nucleotides long. RefSeq lists it as uncharacterized. NCBI's taxonomy places the organism in Eukaryota, Metazoa, Arthropoda, Insecta, Hemiptera, Adelgidae. The transcript is spliced from 3 exons. The record is from RefSeq and is a predicted model, not a curated record.
ACUUUCAAAUUUGAUAUUUUUAAGUAGUCGUAUAGUAUGAGAUUUCUUAUCACUUCAAUAUAAAACGGCCAAUCAAAGACGGUAAAAAUCAUUAAUUUUGACUUACAGUUAAAAAUCCGUUUAUAGUUAAUAUAACCAUACAAUGCUCUUCAAAUUGUCUAUUUUGUUACUAUCUUUUAUCAUAGCUGGUCAUUCUGUACUGGGAGAAUCUGAAGAUGAAAAUCAAACUCUAAGUAAAUCGUACGACGAUUGUAGAAAAUGGUUGCACAUACCUCUAGAUGGUACUAUUACAUUGGCUGAGUUUUGGUUGUAUAUGGGUAAAAAUAGGAUCCGUUUUGCUAUCUUAAGUGAUUACCUUGAUAAUAAUCCAGCAGCAAAUGAAUAUAAAAAUUUUAUUGAUUUAUAUCUAUAUAAGGAACUUUUUAAAAUGUUAUGCAGCAAACUUGACCUUACUGUAAAAAAAUGCGCUUCACACAUGGAAAAAAUAGCGGCACAAAGGACAGUAGCAGACGUUUUAACUAUAGGUUCGGUGGAACCAGACGAUUGUCUGGUUCCACCGGACCUAUAGUCCUAUGGUCUUACAAACCUAUGGCCGGAGCUUAUCGAAAAUAAAAUAUAUUACAAGAAAAAAAAACAGAAAAUGUUUCAUAAUUUAAUAAUUAAAUGUUUAAAAAUAUAAUAUCAAAACGAAUUGUAUGACACCAAAAUCGUUUUUUUCAAAUAAACGCCACUUUCUUACUUUUUGUACAAUGUAAUUUUAUUUCAAAAAAAAAAAAAAGACUAUAUUUUAACUGGUAAUUUAAAAAGAGACAAAUUUGAGAAAAUGUUUGAAUAUAUUAUUAUGAAGUACAACAUUUAGGUACUUGUAAAAAAUUUAAUUAUCUAAAUAAACUAUACUUCCUCAGUACUCAACAAUUAUUUAAUAUUGCGAUAUAUUUAUCAUCGUCAGAUAAGUGAACCAGAUAUCACUAAUGAAAAUAUAUUUUUUAUUUUUGGCCAGCUAUAAAAGUUUGAUUCCUCCCACAUGCAACUUGAGCAAUUUUUUAAUAUUAUCAGGAGUAUAACUUACACUCAUAUUCAAAUCAUGAUAAAUUUAAAGCAGUUCAUUUGAGCUUAGGGUAAUAUUCAUAAAAAACAUAUCUGUUGUUUUAUUCAUUUUUUUAAGUUUUAAGAAAUGUAAAUUAUAUUUUAAAAAUUGUGAAAUGAUAAGUUUUAAUUUUUAACAGAAUAUAAUACAAUACAUUUAAAUUAUAAA